AACGUAGGGGGCAAGCGUUGUCCGGAAUUACUGGGCGUAAAGGGCGUGUAGGCGGCAAAGUAAGUCCAUAGUGAAACCCGGCAGCUCAACUGCCGGCUGGCUAAGGAAACUGUUUUGCUCUGAGUGCAGGAGAGGGGAGUGGAAUUCCCAGUGUAGCGGUGAAAUGCGUAGAUAUUGGGAGGAACACCAGUGGCGAAAGCGGCUCCCUGGCCUGUAACUGACGCUGAGGCGCGAAAGCGUGGGUAGCAAACAGGAUUAGAUACCCCCGUAGUCC
RNAcentral lists this ribosomal RNA (274 nucleotides) under uncultured bacterium. RNAcentral describes it as "partial 16S ribosomal RNA". It matches the Rfam family "Bacterial small subunit ribosomal RNA", at positions 524 to 796 of the family's 1533-position model. The record is from RNAcentral.